Molecule: long non-coding RNA, 838 nt
Filed under: Micromonas pusilla
Lineage: Eukaryota; Viridiplantae; Chlorophyta; Mamiellophyceae; Mamiellales; Mamiellaceae
Description: long non-coding RNA (MPUS_LNC000200)
Source: RNAcentral
CGUUCUCAUUAUCACACUGAUCCCCAUACGACCCCGUUCGCGUGGUGAACGCCGUUCCUUAAGGACUUUCUCUCCCGGCGUCUCUUUCCGCCCAGGGUCCCCCGCUUUCAAUCCCCGACCCUAUGACGCCUUUCAACUCCGCCACUGACGCCUUUCAACUCCGCCCAGGCCUCGCGUCGGAGUUCAUGCGCGACCCGGUCAAGGUGCGGAUCGGCGCGGAAGGUUUGAAAGCGUCGCACUCGAUCACGCAGAUCGUGGAGGUGGUCGAGCCGAACGAUAAAGACUCGCAUCUCACUCGUCUCCUCAAGAAGUACUGCGGCGGUCAGACCCCGACGCCUCGGACGCUCAUCUUCGCGUUGUAUAAGAAGGAGUGCGCGCGCGUCGCGGAGAACUUGAGGCGCGUUCUAUGUCUUUAUUUCAAACUGGUCCCCAUACGGCCCCGUUCGCGUGGUGAACGCGAUUCCUUGAGGACUUUACUUCCCGGCGCAUCUCUCCGCUCAUCACCCCUCGGUUUCAAUCCCCGCCUUCGACGCCUUUCAACUCCACCCCUGACGCCUUUCAACUCCACCCCGACAUCGUCGCUCGUACGGAACGACCCUCAGACGCCAAAACUGGGCGUGCGUCCCGAUCCACGGCGACAUGACGCAACGAGAUCGCGAGGAGUCCGUCGCCGCGUUUAAGGACGGGUCGAAGCCCUUGCUCGUCGCCACCGACGUCGCCGCGCGAGGAUUAGACAUCAAAGGCGUGGAGUACGUUAUCAACUACACGUUCCCGCUGACCACGGAGGAUUACGUGCACAGGAUCGGACGCACGGGUCGGGCGGGGAAGACGGGCAUCG